UGAUGGAAAAGUCUACCACAUAGUCAUAGUCUAUAGUCAUAGAUGUCACUGAAAGAAUCUCAAAGGACACCAAACACUUGUGUUUAGACAGCUGAGUUGAUGCUGGAACCUCUACACACCAGAGUCAAAAACACUACUUGAAUUUUGUGCUUACUGUAUGUUUCAGAGCUUCUCCAUUGCAAUGUGUCAGAGAAGGGCACUUGGGGACACCUUCACUGGCUUUGCAUGGCCAAAUCCAACUUCACAAUAGAAUGGAGUUUUGCAGUUACCAUAAAAUGCUGGGCUAAGGAAGCAAAAUGACCAGCCUUCAGGAAUGACAGGCCCCUAGGAGCACUGAGAAGUGGCACAAGGAACACAGACCCUGGGGUGGAUAAGGAUUAAGUCAGGGAACAUUUAAACAUAUUGGAUAUAUAUAAACUCUCAGGGCUUGAUGGUUUGCACCUGUCAAGUGCUGAGGGAGCUGGCAAACACCCGUGCAAGAUGACUCUCAAUUAUCUUUGAAAGCUCAUGGCAAUUUGGGAAGAUUCCUGAUGACUGGAACAGAGCAAAUCUGGACAACUACGGGUCAAUUGGCCUUGCCUUGAUCCCUGUGAAGGUGAUGGAGAAACUAAUCUGUGAAAGCAUUUCCCAUAUUUAGGAUAGGAAUGCCACUGUACUGGAAUCCAUGGUCAAAAAUGGAUUUGCACCAGGGAAAUCAAGCCUGACUUGACAUUCCUGACCUGACAGCCUCCUAUGAAGAAAUGACUGGCUUUCAAUUCUGUGUGCAGUAACAGUCUUAGAAAACCAAUAAAGUACAGGCUAGGUAAGUGGUUGGUGAAGUGGAUCAAAACUGGCUGAUAGGCUGAGCUCAAAGGAUUGUGAUCAGCAGGACAAAGCCCAUUGGGAAGCCAGACAUUGGUGGUCUGCUUCCGGGGUUCAUACUGGGGCCAGUACACUUCUGUCAUUAAUGAACUGGGCUGAUGGAACAGUGGGCACUUUAACCGAGUGUGUUGAUAAUCUCAAACUGGGAAGAGUGGCUGAUACACAGGAUGGUUAUGCUGCAAUUCAGAGGAGCCUGGACAUGCUGGAGUGUGUCCAUUGAGGACCAUGAAGGUCAUUAAGUAGUACCAUCUUCAGGAGUAUCUCUUAUUCAAGAAGAGGCUAAGAGAGAUGGGCCUAUUCAGCUCAUAGAAGAAAAGUCUUUGAAGGCAUCUCAUCAAUGUGUAUAAAUACCUGAUGGUAGGGAGUAAAGAAUUUGGAAACAGAUUCCUUUCAGCAGUGUCUA
This is a long non-coding RNA of Passer domesticus (house sparrow), 1264 nucleotides long. RefSeq lists it as uncharacterized. The record is from RefSeq and is a predicted model, not a curated record. NCBI's taxonomy places the organism in Eukaryota, Metazoa, Chordata, Aves, Passeriformes, Passeridae. The transcript is spliced from 3 exons.